This 253-nucleotide ribosomal RNA is filed under the name uncultured bacterium. Its description in RNAcentral is "partial 16S ribosomal RNA". It matches the Rfam family "Bacterial small subunit ribosomal RNA", at positions 524 to 776 of the family's 1533-position model. The record is from RNAcentral.
GACAGAGGGUGCAAACGUUGUUCGGAAUUACUGGGCGUAAAGCGCGUGUAGGCGGCGGCGCAAGUCGGGUGUGAAAGCCCAGGGCUCAACCCUGGAAGUGCACUCGAUACUGCGACGCUAGAGUCCCGGAGAGGUUGGUGGAACUCUCGGUGUAGAGGUGAAAUUCGUAGAUAUCGAGAAGAACACCGGUGGCGAAGGCGGCCAACUGGACGGUGACUGACGCUGAGACGCGAAAGCUAGGGGAGCAAACGGG